CCGGAUCUGGUUCUCGGCGUACCUUCGCCGCAAGGACUCGACAAAUUGGAUAGGCGUGACGGCUCUGCCUACUGCCUAUCCUCUUCUUUUCUUUUCCCUUAGCUGCUGCCCGCGUGAUUCCGUGUGCGUCUUGGUGUUCGGCGACGGCGCUCGCUCACGCGUGUGCCAUUGUGCCGCAUGGUUCCGCCGCACAGGUGCUUCUCCUUUUUACUUUUGUCACUGCCGUUCACGGUGUGCACGUUUGCGGGUGUGCCGCUGCCACUCGUCUUCCUCCAUGCUGCGUCAGCUGCCGCUGCGCCGCUUUCGCCUCUUCUCCUCGUCCCUUCGCGCGACUCAUUCCACCUCGGUCGACGCCACUAUUCCGCGCGUGCGCACGCACCGGCACGACGCCGCCGCGAGCACGCCAGUCACUGACUCGACCUUGCUGAAGAAGAAGCCCACCAAGGCUGCUACCGCGUCCCCUUCCUCUGCGCCAUUCCUGACAGAUUACCGGACGGAGAAGGCGCAGCGCCGCUGGAGCAACGCGAGUCGCGCUACACAGGCCGUCGAAUCAACGUCAUCGCGCACCGGUCCAUCGCACAGCACUGCUUCCGUGCCCUCACGUUCAUCACCCACAUCGUCGUCGGCUGCGGCUCGCCCGCUCCUGAAGCGAACAAUGCAGGCCAAGAACAAGGUGGUGGUGCUCCAUCCCGAGGGCAGCCAAGUCAUUACUCUCGACAUGUCCAUCGAGGUGCCGGCGCCGGCGGCCGGCGCCGCGGCACCGCUGCAGCCGAAGCGCGGAACCACAACGGUAUCAAAGAGCAUGGCUCGAGAGGAGAAAGAGACGGCGGCGAAAACGCUCGGCCGCAUUCGGCUGCUUUUUGCGCCGCCGCGGUCGAGCGAGCAGAGCUCGAAGCGGAUGACGAAGGAUAAAAUUUUCGCUGAGUGCCCCACUGUGCGCGCCUUCUGCCGCUCCUCCGAUCUUGCAGGGAUGGCGGAGGAGGAUGGUCCGCUGGCGGCGCCAGGGGCGACGGCGGUUGUCCUCCCGUCGUUGGACGAAACCGCACUUUUCACGGAACUGAACCCCGAGCUGCCCAACCGCGUCUUUUGGAAGCAUGCUCGAGUGCUGUGCGUCAACGAGACCAUCGUAUGCGUGCUCUACAACGUGCCUACGGUCGUCUCCAUCACGUCGCCAGGUAUCCCGUACGUCGGGCUCCCGCUCGCGUGCGCUGACGUGUCGCUGCUCUUCGCGUCCAAGGAGAGCCUGUGCUACGAGUGGUGCGUGCUUUCGGAGGCGUCGGCGAGCACGCGCAGCGCAAACGACGACGAUGCGGCCUUUCGCGUGGUUGGCACCGCGCCGACGUUCACGCCGACCAGCGACCUCCAGGGCAAGGAGAUGAUGCUGCGCGUCUCGCUGGACCCCGCCACCGGCCUCUGGACGGAGAUGCGUCUGCCCAGUGUCGUGCGCCAGCUACCGCCGCCGGUGCCGCGGUGGCAGGAGACAACCACGCCCGUCAACUACCCGGCCUUCCGUGUCGUGACGUACAACAUCCUCUACGAUGACUUCUGCACAUCGAAGAGCUCCAAGGCAAAGAUAUACCCGUUCGCCACCGACGACAUCCUCGACCUUGAGAACCGGAAGGUGCGCAUUGUGCAGGAACUCUUGGCCUAUCAUACGGAUAUUGUCUGUUUGCAGGAGUGCGGCCGGGACGUCUUCCAAUCCUACUUUCUGCCUGUGAUGCGCGCGUGCGGGUACGACGGGGUGUACUGCAACAAGUCUGGAUCGGUGAAGGAGGGCUGCGGCUUCCUAUUUCGCGAGUCCCGCUUCCAGCUCGUGCAGCAUGCGUCCGUCCCGCUAAACUUUCAAACCCUCUCCACCAUGUUUCCGGAACUGGCGGGGCGUGUGGGCGCCUGCCCUGAGCUCGAGGAAGCGCUCUCCGCGGUCACCUCCAUUGGGGCGCGAGUGGUGCUGCGGGAAUCCACCAGUGACAAGGAGAUCGUGGUCGGCAAUACGCAUCUUUUUUACCAUGCCAAUGCGUGCCAUAUUCGCGUUCUCCAAGCGUACAUGCUGCUGCACUGGUUGAGCGACGCCACCCUGAUCUCGCCCGGCGGCGAUGCGGCGACGUCACCGUCGCCCAGUUUAGCCAACCGCGCUCGGCCGCGCCGACCUCUGGUCAUGUGUGGUGAUUUCAACUGCACACACGCGACCGGCGCGUACCGUCUUCUCACAACGGGCCAGGUGGAGGCCGAUCACCCGUCCUGGGACAAAGGGAGGCUCUUCUGGUGGGGCUGCGCGCGGCUGCUCGGCUACGACGCCGACGACCUCGUGGAGUUGCUUGGCAAGGACGCAAAGCUGCCCCACGCCACGGUGGCGCGAAAAGAUUGCAAGCGGCCACGCAAAACGUCAGCAGAAACCGCGGCACCCACUCCGGCAGAUCCGGCAGAGAUCCCUGCAGAGGCAAGCAACGAGACGCAGGCACAAGAGGACCCGGCGCAGGGCGAGGGCGGGGAGCGCGUCAUCACAAAGGUAUUUCAUGAGGCCCUCUACGGACCGCAGGUGCGCCUGCAGGACGCCUACCACCGCACCGACCUUUCACUGCCUUGGACGAACUUCACACUCACCUUUCGCGAGGUGAUUGACUACAUCUUCUUCUCCGAAGACUCGUUGGAAGUGCUACGCACGGUGCCCAUCCCCUCAGAGGCCGAGCUGACAGAGAACUUUGCCUUGCCGAACAAGAAAUACCCGUCCGACCACGUCGCACUUGUCGCAGACCUCGCCUUCACGACGCAGUGAGUGAAAUGCCUCCUCCCCUCCCCAGUAGAGCUCCUAGCCGCUGGGAGACGCUCACCCCGCCGCAAAAGCGCUCGUCGCUGACGCAGUGGGUCAGGUGCAUCCGCAUAAUCGUAAUGGCUGGGAGGGAGGGGAUGUUUCCAGUUGGGGCCGCGAAUGAAGAACAAGCUGAGAUAGCUCCAUCUU
RNAcentral lists this unclassified non-coding RNA (2956 nucleotides) under Leishmania donovani. RNAcentral describes it as "gene:LdHU3.34.3390(CDS-product:Endonuclease/Exonu clease/phosphatase_family_putative)". The record is from RNAcentral. Lineage: Eukaryota; Euglenozoa; Kinetoplastea; Trypanosomatida; Trypanosomatidae.